CAAGAUAGAGCAUGACAUAUGCAUUUCACUUACAAUGAAUAUAGAAAGUUCUACUUUUAUCUUGA
This 65-nucleotide transfer RNA is filed under the name Hediste diversicolor. RNAcentral's name for it is "tRNA-Val". The record is from RNAcentral. Lineage: Eukaryota; Metazoa; Annelida; Polychaeta; Phyllodocida; Nereididae.